CCAAAAUCUGAUAAUAAUGUACCCAUCACAUUCCCCAUUCUCCACUAAUUAUAACAAACUCAUCAUUUUCCUGCAAUUAAAUAAAUUAUCAUUCACUAAUUAUUAAUGAAUUCAACAAACGAUACUAAUCCAUUAAAACUGAAAAGGGAAAAAGGAAAACUUACAGGAAGUUGAUUUUUCUUAAGAAUCGAAUAAAUUAAUUAGGCAUUUUGCCAACACUGAAUAACUGCUAUAUUUCACGUUUGUUUCAUGUGUUUUAUAAAUGACAGUAAAUACGAAAAAUUAUUACUCAGUAAAGUCGUUAAAUUUUAUUUUAUAUUAAAAAGAGAUUUUUUAUUUAAAAAAAAACGUUUUACACCUUUACAUUUUGAAUUUGAGUAAUUAUUAUACCCCUUACACAUUUUGAGAUGUUAAAUCAAUUGUUAGAAAAUGAAUUGAUUUAUUGUAUAUAUUUUAAAAUGUAGAAAUUAAUGGCCUUCAAUUAAUGAGUUAAAAGUGUGUAAUAUAAAUAAAAAUUUUAAAACAUUAAGAAAUAAUUUCAUAAAAAUAUUAAAUUUCAUACUUUUUGCCCUUUAAUUUCUUUUCUUUCACCCUUAAAGAGAAAUUUUUGCCCUAAAAAUUAACAUACCUACAAGCCUUUUCAGACAAAAAAUCAAGUGGACGGAGACGGAGAUAGGUGGUGAUUUAUCAGUUCGGAUAAACUCAUUAAUUUUUUCAUAGAUCCUAUAUUUAUAUUGAAAAAUAAACAAAUAUAUAUACAUAUAUAUUAACACGUGAACUUCCAAAUAAAAUUAAUUUAAAACCUCCAAACUCCUAACCUUAACUCCACCUUAGAAUGAAUUAAUGACCAUAUAUAUUCUCCACUCAAUAAAUAAUGACAAGAAUAUUUAAUUAAUUAGCCAUUCUUCUGCCAAAAGGGAAAAAAACAGUAAAUAUAACUACUUUCUUUUACGUUUCAUGUGAUAGCAACAGUGGGAGAUUACUUUCAAUUCUUAUCUUAUAAACGAGAAAUUAUACAUAAAAGUCAGUAAUUUUUUUCCUUGUAAAAUUACUCAAUUAAAUUUGCUUUUAGAAAAACCCCACUGUAAUUUACACCCUCAACGUUUUGAAUUUGAGAAACUAUACCUCUUUCACAUUUUAAAUUAAAUGUAAUAAUAGACCAAUUGAUAUUAAAUCAAUUAUUAGAAAUAUGUUGAUUUAUUAUAUACUACUUAUGUUCGCGUGAACUAACAAUUAUUUUAAAAAUAAUUUCUUUUAUAAAUUAGCACUUACUAAAAAGAAGAAAUAUGAACAAUACUUGAUAAAACUAUAAAAUGUUUAUAAUAAUUGUUUCAAUUUUGUAAGAUAUUGUGUUAGGUUAUUAGCAUUUUAAUAUUAAUAUUUAACAUAUUAAAUUGCUUUAUUUUGGAGUUAUAAGAAUGACCAUUGGUAGGCAUUCAUCUUUGACUUGGUAGUCAUGUAGUGCCAUUACUUUUGGCUUUAUUAGUUGAAUUCAUUGUGAGAUAAAAACAUUCCAAUAAACAUUGAAAUGGAUAACUUCUACAUCAUCCAUUAGCAUUUGUUGUCCAUCACUUUAUUUCAUUCUUAAUUUCUCCAUUACUCUUUGUAACCUAUGUAACUCCUAUUGUAACAUAUGUAACCUAUAAACUCCUAAGGCCAUUAUCUUCAUUAUUUACUACCUCCAUUAUCUUCCUAUUCAUUGCUAAGAAGACUUCUUGUAGUAUAAAUAGUGGUGGUCUUCAUUUGGUUUGGUACACACAAAACACAAAAGAAAACAAAGAGUGAAAGAGUUAGUCUAAAAGGGAGUUCUUAUUAGUUGAAGGGAUGUGUUCUUUUUUGUGGAGCUUUGGACUCAACUCUUGUCCAGAGUUGUUGAGUUAUACUUUGUGAAGGUUGUUGUAUUCUGGAGGGGACAAGUCAAAGAGGACUACUGCUGGACCGGUGAAAACAUUUGCUGCAGUGGACUUGAAUCUCCCUAAAGAGAGCGAGAUAUCCGCGCCUCAACCUGAAGAGAUUAAUUUCUUUAUUUUAUUUUCAAUUGUAAUUUUGCAAUUUUAUUAUCUUGUAAAUUUUUUCACUAACAUAUUGUUUCGUAUUAUUUUGUUAUAUAUGGAAAGCAAAUACGUAUAUAAUCUGUCCUCCUUGUUUUUUAAAGUAUGGAUGCUUAUUUUUAUAGAAGGAACUACUGAACUUAGAGCUUUUUAAAUAUAGUUCUUCAAUAUGAUUUAUUUAACAAAAAAAACAUACUUGUUAGGUAUAUAAUUUUUUAUAAAAUUCUUUAUUUUUAAAGAAAAUUAUGCAAGUUAAAAUAUGAAAAUUACAAAAAGCAUGUCAAUAGUAAUACAAAGGAAAGAACGACUAACUAUCUCAAUCACAUAAAAUAUAAAUAUAAAAAAUUAUAAUAAUAAAAUUGAAAAGCAACCAAUAUUAAUAUUUCAACAUACAACUCGAUACAAAAUUAUAGUCAUUUUUAUUUGUUUUAAUUAUCAAAGAAUAAUUGUACAAAUAAUAAAUAGUGAAUAUUUUAACUCUUGAGGAGUUACAAAAUUCACUAAAUGUAUAACUAUUUAGAGAAAAUUACAAUUUAAAUAAUGACAAAAAAAGCACAGAAUUGGAGAAAAAGAAUAAGUAGGACUUUUAGUAUAUAAGAGUUUCUGUUAUUGUUUGUUUUUAUAUCAUAUUGAAAUUAUUUAUAAUUUCUUUUUGUAUUCACACAAAUUAAAAAAGUUUAUCUAUAUUUAGAGCCCGUUUGGAUUGACUUAAAAGAACAACUUUUAAAGUGCUGAAACUUAUUUUAAAAUAAGUAGUUAUAUGUCUGGAUAAAAGUGUUGCAUUUGAAAAAAAGUUGUUGAUGUGUUUGACAAAUAAGUGUUGACAAACACAUUUUUGAUCAAAAUGUCUGAAAUACCCUUAAAGUCGUUGACAUGAUAAAAAUUUAUUUAAUUUAAGGUUUUUAUACUUGAAAAAAUUAAACAAAAUUAAUUUAUAUUUUACAUCAAUAAGUAAUAGUAUUUCCGGUCAUUCACAUAUUUCUUAUCGUCACAAAUUAUUUAUAAAAGGAAUUUAAUUUUAUUAUUUAAGUUAAUUUUAUAUGCACAACUUAUAAUAAUAAUAAUAAUUUAAAAAAAUAAAAAAAAUAAAUAAGAAUAAUAACAAUAAAAACAUAAAAAAAAAAAAUAAUAAAACAAUAAUAAUAAUAAUAAUAAUAGUAAUAAUAAAAUAAUAAUAAUAAUAAUAAAUAGUAAUAAUAAAAAUAAUAAAAUAAAAAAAUAAUAAUAAUAAAAUAAUAAUAAUAAUAAAAUAAUAAUAAUAAUAAUAAUAAGUAAUAAAAGAAUUAAGGGCAAAAACGUAAUACACUUGGUCAAUAUAAAAUGACUUUUAAGUUGAAAAAAAACACCCAAUUACCUAACUUUUAACUUUUGGUUUAAAAUAAGUCAUUUUUGACUUAAAAUAAGUUAUUUUGAUAAUUGUCCAACACUCUAAUGAGUCAAAAACUGACUUUUAAGGUAGUUUGACCAACUUAAAAGUUCAUCCAAACAGACUCUUACUCAAUAUAUUUCACAAAAAUAAUAAUUCAGUUCAUUUUAGUGUGUAUUUUGUAUGUUUUGUUGUGUCAUUUUAUUUAAUUACGAAACAGUUAGAAGAAAAAAAUUUCAUUAUUUUAGUACAAAACUUUUAAAAUCUCAAGUUUUAAUAAAUAAUACAUACUCCUUCUAUUUCAAAAUAAGUUAAAUUGUUGAAGCCUUUUUGUCAUAGUUCAAAAUAAGUGAAUUGGUCCAAAAUUAAGAGAGAUGUUGAAAAAUUCUUUCAUUUUUGCCCUCAUUUUCAAUGUUAAAUAAUUAUAAAAUAAAUGAGUUUUUAAAUACAUAAUAUGUACAAAUAAAUAAAUGACUUAAUUUUGAGUAAAUUUGUUAUAUGAUAUAAAUGAAAGAAAAAUGAAAAGAAGUCUUAAAAAGAGAGAUAACAAAUUAAGUAAAAAGGAAUUGAGGAGACAUGCUUAUUUAGCAAAAUAAAUAGAUAAAAAGAAUUGUAUGUCGUGAAAUGGAUCAACCCGCUAAUAAAAAGAACAAAGCAAUACAGUAGUAUUUCCUUAUUAAUUUUAAAUAAAAUUAGAGUAUGUCUAUGUUACCAAAAGUGUACAACCACAAAUAAAGAAAAAACAUAUGUUACCAUAAAAAUGUUUUACGUGCAAAUCUUGAAUAGUUGAUGUGUAAAUGAUAGACUAAAAUCUAAAUUCAUUAUAGUUUGCGAAAACUAAAUGUAGAGGUAAUGAAUAGAAUCAUAGAAAGGAAUUGAGGAGAUAUGUCAUUUUAGUAGAAAAGUGAAUAAACAAAGGUUUUUGUAAUUUAUGAAUAUCAUUAGCGGUAAUAAACAUUAUAAUUUUUUUAGUUAUGAAACAAAUUAAUUAAUGAAGUGAGUAAACUCAUUUUUUCAAUUUUAUAAUCAGCUUAAACAAACAUCAAUUUUCUCUAUAACUUAGAAAAUAUGUUCAUUAUAAUUGGAUAUUGGCAGAACAAACUUGGUUCUGAAAAAUUUCAUUAAAUUAGAAGAAUUAAAUGUUUUAUGAAUUUUGAGUCCCACAAUCAUAUAUAUAGACUAAUUUUAUACAAGUGUUAACAAAUACGAAAUGAAAACUUAAUGGAGGGAAUCUCAUCUCCUUUUUAGUCAAUUCAAAAUCCACAAAAGAAAGAAAUGUGUUAUAUCAUCUAAAUUAGAAUGAAAAGAAGCUAUCAUCAAAACAAAAGAUGAUGGAAUAUUCUUGAUCGAAAAAUUAUGGCAUAUUAACAUGUUAUAUACAUAAUAUAUAUCGAUAUAGAAUAUGUAUUGUAUAUCCAAAAGACAAAAGUUAUAUCAAAAUUUUUCUUUAAGCAACAACAUAAUCAGUGGAAGAUCAUGUUGCCCUUAAUACAAAAAGUGUGAUUUGUAAUAUAAUCUUGUUCUUGAAGGGUACAUAAUUUCAUGGAUAAAUAAUUAAUUGAAAAAUUAUAUAAACAACAAUAAAUGCAUAUAUAUAUAUAUAUAUAUAUAUAUAAAACUUUUGUAUGUAUAAAACAUGUCUUUUUAGAGACAUUCUUUGUGAUACCACAUGACCAAAGAUUGCAAUCUUUCCCACGCCUAGCAUGAUGACUUACACCUCAUUCGUUUUAAAGAAUCACUACAACAAAAUAGGAUUUGGUGGCAAUUAUUUAGCGACAAUUCAUCAUUUGCCGCUAAUUAAUUAUUUAAGCUGAAAUAUUAGCGAUAAAUAAACAAUAGACGCUAAAAGAUAUUUUUUAAUGACAAUAAAGUCGAUUGUCCAGCAAAAUUACUAAUUUAACGCUACUUUUGUCCAUUAAUUUUCCCUCCAAUAAUUUCCAUUACAUUAAGAAAAAAAUUUAAAAUUAAAAAAAACCUUAUUUCCUCUAUUGCUGCCCAUAACCUAUAGUAUUCUACUCACCAAGAUCUUUGUGAUGAAGCCCGCCACUGUUGUGAAUGAGACGAGUCUUGACUGGGAUGCCACUCAGGAUGAGCACAUGGGACUGCCACGCAAGACGACUAGAAAGGUCAUUCCUCCCAAAAGGCUUGGGGAUUACGUUUGGAAAAGAGGAAGUUCACAUGAAAGGAGGUAAAAUUGGCAGAGCAAAUGGCAUAAAGUAGCGUGAGUGGAGCAGUGCAGGGGAUCGAUUUUCUGUUGUUAUCACUGGACUCUCUUUCUCUCAAUUUCUUUUACGUUUCUGACCUCUUUCUUCUUCUAUCAUUAGUUUGAUUACUUCUGCAAUUUAAUAUUGUAUUUCUGAUUCUAGGAACUUCAAUAUAUAUAUAUACUACUUGUAAGUUGAGUAAAGAGUAUUAAUAUAAGGUUGUUAGUGUUCACUGUGUCAAUUUGUUACAUUGGUGCUUUCAUCCAGAGGUCUUCUAUGGAUGACCAAAGACUCAAGUCACUUGUUGAAGAAUCAGUUCAGGGUAUGAACGACUCCAUUCUCGCAGACAUUCACUCUUUUUUACUGGAAGUGGUGGGAAGCAAAACCCAAUGCCCGGAGAGGGACUCACAUGAUGACCGUUUUCCGACAGCCCCUAACUUCCGUCACAAACCACCUUCGGUGGAGUUUGGACGCUUCCGUGGAGAGAAUUCAAGGUUGAGGUUAUUCCCCGUUUUGCAGUUAUGGUGGGCAGUGGGCAAAGUCUCCCGUGUGAAUGUGUGGUGAGACAAGUCACCGUAUUGAUUCAAGGGUGUACUAUAGUCGAGGACCUUUAUGUCUUUCCUUUCCAAGGUGCGGAUGUAGUCCUUGGAGUGGCAUGGUUGGCUACAUUGGGGCGUGUUAUAACUGAUUAUGCAACAAGAGAAUUUGAAUUUACUUUACGUGGGUCUAAGUGGUUAUGGAAGAGAGAUCCACCUACUGAUGCUCAUCAAAUUCAGUUGCAUAGUUUAAGGCGUAUGACAACGACUGAUGCUAUUGCUUCGUUCUUUUUUCUGGCAAUGAUUACUCCUGAAGGGAGUUGUGCAGGUGAAAUGACCACAAAUUUGAGUGGUCUAUUGGAGUCAUAUCAUGAUGUGUUUCGGAAACCCACAGGAUUGCCACCUUCUCGUGCUCAGGAUCAUUCGAUACACCUCGUCCCAGGGGCACAACCAGUGAAUGUUAAAUUAUAUAGGUACCCACACUUCCAAAAGCAGGUCAUGGAGCAGAUGGUGAAAGAUAUGCUUAAAGAUGGAGUUAUACAACCCAGCACCAGUCCAUUUUCAUCACCGGUGUUGUUAGUCUGUAAGAAGGAUGGUACAUGGCGCUUCUGUGUUGAUUAUCGAGCACUCAAUGCCAUCACAAUCCGAGAUCGCUUCCCUAUUCCAACCAUUGAUGAGUUGUUUGACGAAUUACAUGGUGCUAAAUUCUUUUCAAAGUUGGACUUGUUAUCAGGUUACCAUUAGAUAAAAGUCAAGCUUGAGGAUGUGGCUAAGACAGCCUUUCGUACUCAUGACGGUCAUUAUGAAUUUUGAGUAAUGCCAUUUGGAUUAACUAAUGCCCCUUCAACAAUUCAAGCUACUAUGACUGAAAUUUUUCGUCUACAUAUGCGUCGCUUUGUUCUGGUGUUUUUCGAUGAUAUAUUGGUCUAUAGUGCAUCUUGGAGUGACCAUUUGGAGUAUUUAGCAGCGGUAUUGCAGUUGUUAAGGCAACAUUAACGUGUGGAUAAACGCUCAAAAUGCUUGUUUGGUCAAUCCUCUAUCUAUUACCUAGGCCACAUCAUCUUUGCUUAAGACCUCUCAGUAGAUCCAGAAAAAAUCAGUACUAUUGAGCAGUGGUCGCCACCAAGAUCAGUUAAAGAAGUUCGUAGUUUCCUUGGGCUAGCUGGGUAUUAUCGCAGGUUUAUUCACCAUUAUGCAUCUAUUGCGGGUCCAUUAACUGACCUGUUGCGCAAAGAUUCCUUCAAAUGGACAGCAAUUGAACAACAUGCUUUCAACACUUUAAAAUCUCGAUUAAUCUCUACCCCUGUUUUGGCCUUGCCUAAUUUUAGUCAGGAGUUUCAGGUGGAAACUGAUGCAUCUGGGCGAGGUAUUGGAGCUAUUUUGUCACAGCAAAGCCACCAUAUUGCUUUCUUUAGCCAAAAGUUAAGCUCUAGGAUGUAAAAAGCUUCAACAUAUCACCGAGAGAUGUUUGCCAUUACUCAAGCUGUGAGUAAAUGGCGACAGUAUCUAUUGGGGCGUCAGUUCACUAUCCUUACUGAUCAACAAUCACUGCGUAACUUAACUACCCAACAGACCCCUGAGCAACAAAAAUGUCUCACAAAACUUGUCGGCUAUGACUUUUGGAUCUUAUAUAGGCCUGGAAAACAGAACACAGCAGCAGAUGCCUUGUCCCAUAUUUCAGAGGCUGUUCUCAUGACUAUUUCAGUUAAUUCUUUAGCUAUAGAGGUUGAUUUAAAGCAUCUUAAUCAGACCAACCCCGAGUUAGUACCAAUACAACAAGCCUUGGAUCUUGGGAAUAAAAAAUUUGAUGACUAUCAGUGCAAAGAAGGGAUAUAAUUUUAUAAAAGGAGGAUAGUGAUUCCAUCGGACUCUCCCUUGCGUCAUAAAUUACUACUUGAGUUGCAUGCUACUGCUAGAGGAGGACAUGCCGGGGUUACACGCACAUUCCAUCGUUUUUAUCUAAUUUCUUUUGGAAAAAGAUGCGCAAGGAUGUACAAACAUUUGUGGCUGCGUGUCAUAUAUGUCAACAAAUGAAAAUUCUCACCUACAUCCUGCUGGGCUAUUACAACCAUUGUUGAUUCCAAACUAGGUCUUUGAGGAUAUCACAAUGGACUUCAUUACUUGUCUUCAAAGCUUCAAUGGAAAGACCACGAUCAUGACAGUCGUAGACCGUCUCACUAAGUACGUUCAUUUUAUUCCAUUGCCAUCUAUUUUCUCGACUCGUACAGUAGCUGAGGCCUUUGUGGUGGAUAUUAUUAGGCUUCAUGACCCUCCACGUUCUAUUGUCACAGAUCGUGAUCCACAGUUCUUGCAUUCUUUUUGGCAAGAGAUUAAUCGCUUACAAGGAUCCACUUUAGCCAUGAGUACAGCCUAUCAACCUCAAACAGAUGGGCAAUCUGAGGCUCUUAACAAAUGUGUGGAGCAAUAUUUGCGUUGCUACGUCGCUGAGGUGCCUUCCAAAUGGGUUGCUAUGUUGCCAUGGGCAAAAUUUUGGUAUAAUACUUCAUAUCAAACUUCAGCUGGUAUGACCCCUUUCCAGGCAAUUAUAUGGUCGUGAACCUGCUACUGCUGCUCGGUACAUUUUGGAAGUAGUGCAAGCGAACUGGUUGAUUCCUAUCUGUUGCAGUGGGAUGAAGUCUUGCACAUCCUCAAAAAUACUUUGUUGAAGGCUCAGAAUCGCAUGAAACGGUUGGCUGAUAAGUCUAGGACUGAUACCUUCCUUGAAGUGGGUGAUUGGGUGUAUGUCAAACUUAAGCCCUUCAGGCAGAAUACUCUACGCCUGCAGCGAGAUCAUAAGCUUGGGAGGUGUUAUUUUGGGCCCUAUCAGGUGUUAAAACGCAUUGGUCCUGUUGCUUAUCCCCUGGAACUGCCUGAAUCUACAAAAAUCCAUUUUGUUUUUCAUAUUUCUAUGUUGAAGCGUUGUGUUGGAACUCCGGAUCAGCAAGUGACUCCUCUACAUCUGAGUGUUCCUAAUACAGAGGAUCUCGCUAAGUCUAACCUCUAGGACAAGGUUGAUUUCCAGGAAGGGAGUAAUGUUGUGAAUGAGACGAGUGUUGACUGGGAUGCCACUCAGGAUGAGCACAUGGGACUGCCACGUAAGACGGCUAGAAAGGUCAUUCCUCCCAAAAGGCUUAAUGAUUACAUUUAGAAAAAAAUAAGUUCACGUGAAAGGAGGUAAAAUUGGCAGAGCAAAUGGUAUAAAAUAGCGUGAGUGGAGCAGUGUAGGUGAUAACAACAGAAAAUCUAUUCCCUGUUUUCAGUAUGUCUGACUUCACAUUGCCACCUAUGUUGCACGGACUCUUCAAAAAUGUCAAUGGGUGCGUGUUGGAUUCGCCAAAAGUAGUAUAUUUUUGAAGAAUUCUAGACGGUUGCGGCAUCAAAAGUGAAGAGUCUGCGCAACUUAGCUUGCCGCAACACUCCUUCAAGCAACUCCUAGUUAAAGUUUUCAUCUCUUUAUCUAUUCUUAUUUUUUUGUUUUUGUGUUGCGAGCUUGCUCCUAUGUUAUUCUUUCAAACUGUAGUCUGCAAUUUUAUUUUCUUCCCUUCUUCUUUUCUAUGUUUUUGUAUUGAAGAAAUUUGAAAUAUGUACCAAAAAAACAUGAUUUAGAGGACAAGUAAAAGUUGGCCUUGUAAUUAAAAAAUUAAAAAAUACUUCUAUCACACUUAUUACACAUACAAUACGGCAGUGAUUUCUCUGCUUUUAACUAGAAUUGGUGAUCAACAUAGGUUGUGGUGCACUGAUAAGAUUGCUUUACCAUUAAUCAGAGGUUUCAGGUUCAAGCUCAUGAAAUUUUUUUUGUUGGAGCGCCACUCCUGAAUGGAUCCUACAGAGCGCGAUCGGAAUUUAGUUGAAACUCCUAUAAGCUUCGGACAUUGAAUCUUAACUAAAACUUUCAAGUUUGAACUUUAGAAAUGAAUGACGAAUCUCGUGAGUGUGAAUAAAUGUAAAUCCAACUAUUUGGGAUUUAAAUUGAUUAAAGAGUCUUAGAUUAUAAUUUAUAGGUAUAUGAAUUUGGUCCAUAAUGGAUUUAAAAGGAGCCGAUAAAACAAAAAACUAUUUUUAAAAAAAAUAAAAAAAAUACACGUGGUGUCUCCCCAUUGGUUAAAUAUUUUUAUCUUAUUCUUGCUUAUUGAACAAAAAAAACUAAUUUAUUGCUUUAUAAGAGGGGGAAAAUGUUGCAAACAUAUUGUAAUUUGUUGUGGGAAAUAUUCAUAUAAAUGACAAUCUUGUAUCUUGUCAUCUUUUAUCUCACUACGUAUUGUAUAGAUGUAGUUCACAAAAUGUACGAAGAGUGUAAGGUAAUAAGUAGGUGAUCAGAGUGGUAUCUCCAAAAGCUACGAUUUGAAGCAACAACAAGCACACUCCUUAUUUGUUUCAUCUAAGAAGUACUAAUACAAUAAGUAUACAUUAGGAAACACCACUCCUUAUGAAAUGUAUGCAACCUGUUAGUGACACUUUAUACAAGUCGUUCUAUAUUUCUUCUUUUGAUAUUUUAUUCAUUCAGGUCAUAUAGUUUGAAGUUCAAAAAUGUUACGAUGUGACGAAUAAUUAUGGAUAUUCUUUGAAGACAUUAUUAGACAAAAUUGAUUAUAUAAUCAUAUCAGUUAUUUUAAGUUGUAAUACUAUAUUUUGGAUUUACAAUUUCUUCUUUUUUAACAUAGAUUGAGAUAUAUUACGUUUUAUGAAUUAAUAUUAUAUGUUUUAGAAUUUGAAAACACAUAGUUGCCUUUAAGAGAUUCUCUUAUAAUGACAAUUUUGUUGGAUUUACUAGUUAUCUACUUAGCACUAGACGUGCAAACUAGAUAAUUUGGUCAAUUGAUUUAGUUAUUAUUAAUGGUGGCUAAGCAAUUAGUUGUUAAAAUAUGUAACUAUUUAUGGUCAAAUUUUAGACGAAUUUACUAGCCAUAAAAAAAUGAUGAAAAUUAAGGUGUUUUUUCAAGCGAUAAUCUAGCCUUUGUAAUUGUUAGAAAAUUAUUGUAGCUAGAGGUAUCAAUUUUUAGCAGCAAUAUAUUAAAUUGACCAACUAUAAAAAUGGACGCUACAUGUUCAUGAUUAACCAUUUCGUAUUGGAUUCAACAGCCAUCUCAAUUGCCACUAAAACUAAUGCAUUUAUUGGCCAUGUAGCUAGAUCUAGCGGCUAUAAAAAUAGACAUUAUAUGAGCAUAACUAGCUAAUUCGGAUUGGAUUUAGCGGCUACCUAAUUGUCACAAACAAUUGCCACUAAAACAAAUGAGUUUUAGCGGCAAUAACCCUAGAUUUACCGGCGAUCAUCCGAAAUGCCGGAACAACCUUUGCCAACCCUGAUACAGCGGCCAAAGUGUAUUGGCUGGUAAAGGGUAUAACAAUCGUUGUUAUUUUUAGUGGAUGUUAAAUCCUCUUUGUGUCGUAGUGAAUGAAUCUAUAUUUUCAAGCAUUUAUCAAAAGUUCUCAUUCUUUGUGAUGGAACACAAACAUGUGAACAUAUCAAAUUAUGAUAGCUUUAGUACCUCAUUCCAUAUUUAUGUGCAUUAUUCAAUCACUUGUUUUCUUUUAUAUAUGCACUACUACCACAUUCACUUUAAUAAUGGAGCAAAUUUAGUAAAGUUCAUGACUUCUCAAAAAACACAUUAGUUUUUCUUUAGUCAUUAUUAUAUCAUUAAUAUGGAAGACUCAAAUUCAAUGUCUUAUCCAUCUAAAAAUGUUUUAGGCCAUAAAUCGAUGGACAUAAAUCCAUUGUCUUAUUCUUUUGGUGCGAUAAAACUUAAGUCUAUCGCGUUACACACAUUGAGGCUCAACCUCAAGCCUUCAAAUAAUUGUAAUUUUAUCACUUUUGGUAAUCAUUAAUAUGAUUGUAUAUUAUAAUUACACACAAAAUUGAGAUUGUUGAUUUAUUAUAAUCAACAAUAGUAGUUAAUAGAUAUAGCUUAAUAAUCACAUACCUUAUAUAAAGAUUGAAAACAUACCUUUCACUACAUCGUGUUUAUUUAAUUAUUAAAAUUACUUAUGGAGUUCUCUUCCCAAUUGGUUAAAAUUAAACGUUUAAAAAGUCGACAAGUCUCUUUAAAUACUUACUUGUAAUACUCCGAAAGUUCAUAUGACCUAAUCUAGAGUCUUACAUGUAUAGCCAAGACUUGUAACACUAUUUUGAAGACCUAAAAUAAUGUUUAUAAACCAUUUAGGAGGUUUUAUAGUUAAAAUGUCAAGGAACGUCCAUGACGUCUGUAGAUUAGUGAAAUAGGUGCUAGUGUGCCUCGACCUAUUUCAUGGAAUUUUAGGAGUCGAAAUUUGAUGAAAUUUAGGGCUAUGCCCGAAUGAUCUAUUCCGCUUUAGAUGAUUUUAUAUGAGAAGAUCUUAUUAGACCAUCUUUUAGUAUAUUGGUUAUAUUGCUUAUGUGAGAAUCAUAUGUAAGCUUCCUAUGCAAGGAGUUUAUGUAACCUCUGUAUGUAGUAUGUGAGAGGUCUAUGUAAACCUCACUAUAUAGUUAUAUGUAUGAAAAAAUUUAAUUUUUCUGCAUUUUAACCUAUAAUAUGUUAUGACGAAUGCUAAGAGACUAGUCUUAGUCCUAUUCAGGACGACGACGCCGGUUACGUCUAGGGGGCGCUUCACGAUUAUGAUAUUACUCCAGAUGGUAACAUUAAAUCUAUCACAUAAAAAUUAUAACGUAGAGGUAAAUCAUACCUUGAAGAUAUAUGAAUCUUAUUGCAUAACUUAUUCAAGAUCUCUUUUGCACUUUUGCCAUCUUCUAUAACAAUUAUUUAAAAAUAGAACAAUCAUGCUGAUAAUAUAUUAUGAAACUAUAUAAACAAGAAGAAGAAUAAAAUAGAGAGAAGAGAAAAGAUUUCUUAUUCAUCUUGAAGUAUAUUCAGAUUUCAUUGAUCUUCUUUACAAUGAAGGAAAACCCUUUAUUUAUAGGAGAAACCUAACUUUAUCCUAAGUAGGAUUCUUAAACAUAUCCUAAAAGGACUCCACAUAAUUAGACAUUCACUAUAAUACAAGUAUGUUUAUAACAGUUAUGAUUUUAUCAAAAGAAAUGGUUUAUGACAGUUAUAACUUAUAAUUGUCAAAUAGAUUCAAAAAAAAUUUUUUAAAUUUUUUAUAGUGUUACGAUCCAAAGUAUCCACUAGGCGUAACUAGCGUCCUUAUCCUUGAAGAGGACUUAGACAAGCCCUUAGCAUACGUCAUAGUACAUCAUAAGUCAAAAAUGCGAAAUAAUUAAAAAUUUUACGUAGUGAAGUAUACAUAAAUUUCUCGCAUAUCAUAUGUGGAGUUUAUAUAGACUCCUCACAUAGAAAGCUUAAAUAGUUUUCUGUUUUGGCAAUAUAACCAACACAAUUGAUUCAAAUUUUGGUUUUUCAAAGAAUACCCAUGUGAGGAGAAAAUUCCUAGUUUUAGGGAUUUAGAAAUCAUCUUUUUGGAGGGACCUCUUUGGAAAAAGAAUUCCAAGAGUGAAAGAAAUUAUACCUUAAAGAUGAAGUACCACGAAAUUGAGUAGAAUCUUGGAGGAUUUGAUCUUCUUCUUCAACCUACAAAACUUCUUCAAUGGAGGAUGAUGGAGAGGAAAGUAGAGAGAGGUGAGAGCUUUUGGGUUUGAUUUGGGUUUUGGUGUU
This 13743-nucleotide long non-coding RNA is filed under the name Solanum lycopersicum (tomato). Its description in RNAcentral is "long non-coding RNA (SLYC_LNC000890)". Lineage: Eukaryota; Viridiplantae; Streptophyta; Magnoliopsida; Solanales; Solanaceae. The record is from RNAcentral.